Molecule: ribosomal RNA, 241 nt
Filed under: Hemiselmis rufescens
Lineage: Eukaryota; Cryptophyceae; Cryptomonadales; Hemiselmidaceae
Description: partial Bacterial large subunit ribosomal RNA
Rfam family: Bacterial large subunit ribosomal RNA
Source: RNAcentral
GGGCACUGUCUCAGCCAUGAGCUCGGUGAAAUUGUAGUCGCGGUGAAGAUGCCGCGUACCCGCAACGGGACGGAAAGACCCCAUGAACCUUUACUGCAACUUAACAUUGGCAUCGGGUACACGGUGUGUAGGAUAGGCCGGAGGCUAUGAAGCGGCGUCGCCAGGCGUUGUGGAGCCACUGUUGAAAUACGGCCCUCUGUGUGCCUGGUGUCUAAUCCCUGAAAAGGGAGACAUUGUUUGG